UCAGCACCUCCCCCAGCCGUUUGAUCUCGCGGUCCCACUCAACUACAUCCUCCCGGCAAAUCUCCGGUACUUCUUCAGGAACAGCGGGAAUCGGGCCCAACCUCACUUGAAGCGUGUCCCUCCAGCUGGCGGCUUUUGAGCUGUAGAGGUCCACGUUGGAGAUAUACGAUACGCCCGUGCCCAUCUCUCUGCGGUAGAACCGCGCUUUCACCUCCGUCGGCUGCUCGUGGAAGGCCCUGACGGCUGCGAUCGUGCGGUCAAGAGUUACCGAUGGGAUGCCGUGAUUAGUGAUCUGGAAGAACCCGAACGUUCGGCAGGCGCGGCUGAUUUGGUCAACGACGGAGGAGCGGCGAUCGGUGUGAAGAUCCGCCAGGUCGAUGGUGGGGAUUGGGGUAUCGGGUUUGGUAUGAUGUCGGGGGUCGGGUAGAGAUUCGGGUGGGUGGACGAAGAAGCGGGGGAUGGAGGUGAGGCCUGAGUCAACGAGGCCUUUAACCCCGAACUUGGAUUGGUCGAAUUUCUUGACUUCUUCAGCUCUAUCGUAAUCCCGUUCACCGCCGAUCGUGGUGUUCGCCGCCAUGGUUUCUCUUUUUCCGGUCAGAGAAAAUUGCUUACCACAAAGUCCGAAAGGAUGAUACAGAGGCCCUGGAUUUAGGCAGCAGGCACUGUGUAUGAAUAAAUAAUGGUUUUGGUGGGAGAGAAUUCGGAUAAGACGUGUUGCCCCGGAACUCCAUCUUCAUUGCCAAUGGGUAAAUUACACUGUCGCUCCCUAGUGUUUUGUUCUUUUUUCAUAAAAGUCCAUAAAUUAUGAACAUUACAAUAAAACCCUUGAGGUUUAAAUCUAUUUUACUAACACCCCUAUGGAGUAGCAUGUAAUUUAAGAAAACUUUGAAAGGUUUGUAGAAACACGAAAAUUCUCAGUCAUCUCAGAUUCUCAAAAUGUCAAUUAGACAAAAAUAAGGGGAAUCAGAAAUAGAACCAAUCCAUCUGGUUGCGGUUUGGUUCGAUUUGGAAGAGAGAUAUUCUGACCAAACCGUCGGUGACGUUCAGUUCGGUGCGAUUUUGAGGCUUGAAUCAAAAUAGAACCAAAUCAUUUAUUUGCGGUUUGAUUCGAUUUCAAACGGUUUUUAUUUCAGUUUCAAACCAUUUGCAAACUAAAUGUUUUAUGUCAUUAAUACAACAUAAUUGAGUUAUGGCAUUAGUAAUACAACCCCAAAAAAUAAAUUGUUCAUGUAAUUCAACAAAAAAGUUUUGGUGUUUCAACUUUCAAGUUCCUACUUUGCAUUGUCCAACCCUUUCACUUUCCUUUUCGACACUUACUCUUCUAGAGCUUAUGAGGCCUUUAAGCUUGUGAAGGGGCUUAUCAGCGAUACCUCGGAAGAUCUUGGACGUUAUGAAAGUGAACCAAUGGAUGAGCAGCCAUUGAACCUUGUAAACUAAAAGCUUGAGAUCUUCUUGAAGCUUGUUAUUGUGGUUGGAUUAAGAGUAAGAGAGGCGAUGCUUGAAUUCAACUUGGCCAACUUUACACAAUACAAAAACAUAAACAAUAUAAAUUACAUUAGUUGUUCGAAACUUUUUGAAGCCCACAAAUAUAUUUUUUAUACUAUGUAGUUCGAUUUUAGACAUUAAGAACCAAUGCCAAACUGUUUUUUAGCUUGCGGUUCGGUUUCAAACCGAAACCGUUUCAAAAUCACAAAAACUGAACUGUUUGGUGCAGUACGUCUCAGUCCAUAUUAUAUUUUCGAUUUUCGGUUUCAAGUGCUCACCCCUAAUUACAGUUGGAAGCUAAGAACUAUCAAACAUUAAUAAAUUAAUAAAAAACACUAAUGUAAUUUAAUAAUUGCCAAAACCAAAUCCAUGAUCAGCACUAUCAAGAAAUAAGGCCAACUAUAACAUGAUUCACAGCUGCAAAAUACAAUAGUGAAUGGUUCAUACCGUUUUACAGCCUAAAGUGAUUGACCAAAGCUUUGCCAUCCAAUCCUUUCUUGAAGAACCUUUGCAGCAAUUCUGACAACGUAAAUUGCUGGUAAAGUGCCGGUUUCUCCGGCGAGACCAUCUCCGAUAGUGGACCAUACGUAUCCUCUGUAUUACUUGGCCUGAAGAACACUGCAAUUGCCACACGUGCUUCGUGUUUUGGGUUAGCUAACACCCGAUGAUCUACGCUUUUGUAUUCUCCGUUGGACAUAAUCUGAAAGUCAACCAAAGAUUCGUUCUUGUGACACAAUGAAAGUUACAGGUUAAGAAAUCACGAACAACCACCUUGCAUAUAAUUCUGGAAAAUUGAAAUACCAAAGCUUAUAUAUUCCCGUGGAAUCGUAACAACAGAAGAAAGUAAAACGAGAAAGUAUGAAAAUACUUAUUUCGGUUAAAUAUCAGAGAAAUUCUUAUAUUUCGUCUAAAUCAGUGCUUGAAAUUCUCUAAAUUUAAUAUUAAAUUUUCUGAAAAUAUGACUUUAACCCCUCAAACUCAAUUUCUUUCAUAUAAAACCCGACAUAACAUUUUUACUCGAAUAAAACCCAAUGACUAGACUUCACAUAAGCAAAUUCAUUAAUUAUGACAUUUUAAAUUUUUCGAAUGCCUAAAAUACCCCUUUUUGCAUGUUUAAUGUGCACAAUUAAACAUAUGCAGAUUUUAAGGAGGAUUAAUGAUUUUACAAAAAUAAAAUAAUAAAAAAGGCAUAAAUAUUCUAAAUGCAUUGCAUGUUAUAUGAAUUUGGUUGAUUCAUGUUUCUCUCACUUCAUAAAAUUUGCUUCUAAUUUGAUAUAGGAAUUAAUUUGGAAAGUUUUCUUAAUCUUAAUAACAAUUUUCAAUUUAAAUAUAUUUUUUAAUGAAAUAGUCUAUCUUUUAAAAUAUUUAUCAAUAAAAUAAUGUACCUAUAUAUAUAUAUAAUUUUUUUUUUGCCAACUAUAAAUUUUUACCAUAAUUUACCUAUAUAAUAAUGUACCUGUUAUUUAAUUUUUACAACACUAAUGUAUCUUAAAAAAUAAUUUACUUAUUGUUUAGUUUUAGCAAAAAUAAUUUACCUACUGUGUAUAAUUGGUGAAGCUAAUAUGAUGUACAUAUUGUUUAAUUUUUUAAAAAUUAAUGUAUGUACAAAAAUAAUUUAUCUAUUGUUCAAAUUUUAGGAUAAAAAUUUACAUGUUUUUAUUUAACAAUAAUGUAUCUACAAUUUUAUUUUUGUAUGAAUAUAAUUUACCUACUUUUUAAUUUUAUAUGAAACUAAUUUACCUACUGUGUCAGUAAUGUAUCUACAAUUUUACAUACAAUAUUUACCUUUUUUUUUUCACAACAAUAGUGUAUCUACAAUUUUGUUUUUGUAUGAAUAUAGUUUACCUACAAUUUAACUUUUCAAAAAAUGUAUCUUCUAUUUUAUAUUUUACUAUCAUAUAUAUGUUUCUGUGUUCGCAAAAUAAUUUAUCUAAAGUUAUAUAGUUAAGAGAUAUGCUAAUGAAUUAUAUUAAUUCAUUAUUAGACUGAUAUAAGAAAUUGUUAAAAACGUUAGCCAUAAUGGUUGGCUAAUAAUGGUUGUAUGAGAACAGUUAUAGAAAGUUGUGGCAUAAAUUGUAAAUAACUUAUAUUAAUAUGUUACUUAUUUUCUUAUGUGGUAAUUUAUUUAAAUUUUGGGUUUUGAUUGAAUGUUUAUUCAUAGGUGGGUUUUUAUCUGAAGUAUAUGAGUUGUAUGGGUCUAUAUCUAAACAACCCUUAAAUUUUCAUCAUUUCUAUUGAAAACAGUCAAUAUCGAAAUUGUUACGAUAUAUUCUUUGAUAUUUUCACCAAUAUUUCGACACUGAAUUUAUCUUUAUUAGAGAACAUCGGCAGUGAGAUCAGUUUUGUAGUUGAACUACAUUUACCUGAAGUAAAUCCCCGACGUUGAUAACAAGAGCACCGGGGACCGGCUUCACAUCCAGCCAACCCUCACCGUAUUUAACCUGCAAUCCACCCGUUUGGUCCUGAAGCAGCACGGUCAAAACUCCCGGGUCAGAAUGAGACGCAAUCCCCACCGUCAGAUCAGGCUGCGGGCAGUAGGGGUAGUAGUGGCCCACCAUCAUCCUCCCUUCUAGACACGUCAUCUCCCUCAAUCUCCACGCAUUCAAUCCCAGUCCUUCGCUCACCAGCUCCAUCAACACGCCUCCCAGCCGUUGGCUCUCCUGAUCCCACUCAGCAACCGCAUCCCGACAGAUCUCAGGCACCUCUAGAGGAUUCGCCGGCGUGGGGCCCAACCUAACUGCUAGCGUGUCCCUCCAGCUGGCGGCUUUUGAGCUGUAGAGGUCGAAGUUGGAGGCAUAAUUUACGCCCGUCACCGUAUCCCUACGGUAGACCCGUGUUUUGACCUCCGCCGGCUGCUCGUGAAAGGCCUUGAUGGCUGAGAUCGUACGGUCCAGAGCUGCCAACGGGAUUCCGUGAUUUGUGACCUGGAAGAAACCGAACUUUCGACACGCCUGGUUGAUUUGGUCAACGAUGGAUGAACGGUGAUGGGUGUGCAGGCCGGCGAGGUCGAUGGUGGGGAUCGGUGUUUGUUGGGAAUCGGAUUUUGUAUCGGGUAGAGUUUCGGGUGGGUGGAUGAAGAAGCGGGGGAUGGAG
RNAcentral lists this long non-coding RNA (4578 nucleotides) under Malus domestica (apple). RNAcentral's name for it is "long non-coding RNA (MDOM_LNC016005)". The record is from RNAcentral. Lineage: Eukaryota; Viridiplantae; Streptophyta; Magnoliopsida; Rosales; Rosaceae.